UUCCCUAUCCAAGGUUUGAUUCUUAGAAUUGUUUUCUUCACACUUAAUUCUUUUUAUUGUAUUUUUUCGCUCUUGGUUCAAAAUUAAGUAAAUUGGAAAACUUGAAAUCCUUAUGUAUAAGUGGCAACGGAUUCAAUAACAUCCUACCAAUUUAAGAUGAACUUCAGAUCUUGGGGUGAAUUAUAUUUAUUGAUAAAUUAAUUAUUUUGUAAACAUAAAUGGAUUUUUCAAAAUAUUUUUGAUAGUUUUACAAUAUCACAUAUAAAAAAU
Molecule: unclassified non-coding RNA, 270 nt
Filed under: Hevea brasiliensis (rubber tree)
Lineage: Eukaryota; Viridiplantae; Streptophyta; Magnoliopsida; Malpighiales; Euphorbiaceae
Source: RNAcentral